Molecule: ribosomal RNA, 522 nt
Filed under: uncultured Parcubacteria group bacterium
Lineage: Bacteria
Description: bacterial SSU rRNA
Rfam family: Bacterial small subunit ribosomal RNA
Source: RNAcentral
UUCCGCAAUGGGCGAAAGCCUGACGGAGCGACACCGCGUGAUGGAUGAAGACCCUCGUGGGUCGUAAACAUCUUUUAUGAGGGAGAAAGUUUAUUGAUAGUACCUCACGAAUAAGGGGUUGCUAAACUCGUGCCAGCAGCAGCGGUAAUACGAGUGCCCCGAGCGUUAUCCGGAAUUAUUGGGCGUAAAGGGUGUGUAGGUGGCAGUGUUAGUCAGUUGUUAAAACCCGGGGCUUAACCCCGGAACCGCGACUGAAACGGCACAGCUAGAGGAUGGCAGGGGUGUAUGGAACUCAUGGAGUAGGGGUGAAAUCCGUUGAUAUCAUGGGGAACACCAAAAGCGAAGGCAGUACACUGGGCCAUUCCUGACACUGAAACACGAAAGCGUGGGUAGCGAAUGGGAUUAGAUACCCCAGUAGUCCACGCCCUAAACGAUGACAACUAGCUAUACGGAGUAUCGACCCUCUGUGUGGCGAAGCUAACGCGUUAAGUUGUCCGCCUGGGUAGUACGACCGCAAGGUUA